GGAUUUUGAUGCCUUUGAUCUGAGGAUGAGGCUUCCUGCUGUUGUUAGCAAAUUAAACAAGGCUAUCAAUCGUAAUGGUGGUGUGGCCUACGUACAUUGCACUGCGGGUCUUGGAAGAGCACCUACUGUUGCGUUGGCCUAUAUGUAUUGGGUUCUAGGAUAUAAACUAAGUGAGGCACAUAAAUUUCUUCAGAGCAGAAGAGCUUGUUGUCCAAAAUUGGAGGCUAUAAGGAGUGCUACUGCUGAUGUUCUUACAGGACUACCAAGUGGCCGUGUCAUACUAUCGUGGAAAGGUGGCAAAUACUCCUCAGUAGAAGUUUCUGGUCUUGAUAUUGGUUGGGGCCAGAGAAUUCCCUUAAAAUUUAAUCCGUCUGAAAGUGUAUGGCUUCUGGAGAGAGACUUGCCUGAAGGGCACUAUGAGUACAAGUACAUAGUAGAUGGUGAAUGGACCUGUAAUACUUCUGAGUUAAUGACAAGUCCCCAAGGGGAUGGUCAUGUCAACAACUACAUUCAUGUCUCAAGCUCUGAUUCUGAUAACGAGUCUAAAGCACUGCGAAAGCGUUUGAUAGCUGAAGAUGAUCUCACUUUGGUUGAACGGCAAAUGAUUCGAGAGUUCCUGGAGCAGUAAUUGUUGAGUUCUAACACUAAGAAAUCUACUUUAAGAAGCCGUAGGAAAGCCGUCCUAAACAGAGCCUAAGUCGAGCCCAUUGAAAAAGAAUAUAGCAAACCAAGGCAUAUGAAUGUAGAAGUCUGCAGAAGAUAUUCGCGUGGGGGGAUAAAUAACGGGUUGCAGUUUUUCCAAGUAGGGUUUUCAGUAAGGACAACUUCAAUAAGGUAUGGGUAGCAUUAUUUUGAUGAACUCACAAUAAGGAAAAAUUUAUUAUAUCAGCAUGUAUCAUAUGUUUUGUUUGCUUACAGUACAUUGAUUUUUGUUGGACGUCUUUGGUAUUGUCAAUAUUUACUGGAAAUGCCUUAAAUAUCAGUCAUGGGGCUCUCCUUUGUGCUGAUACGCAGAUGUUUUAAAAUUUUGGUGUUGUUAAAAACUCAAGUAAACAAUUAAUUCUAGUCACAUAUUAAAUUAAACAAAAAGUAUGUAACAGCCCAAAA
Dendrobium catenatum is the source of this 1107-nucleotide RNA transcript. It is a transcript of the gene named phosphoglucan phosphatase DSP4, amyloplastic, with no coding region annotated. Lineage: Eukaryota; Viridiplantae; Streptophyta; Magnoliopsida; Asparagales; Orchidaceae. The record is from RefSeq and is a predicted model, not a curated record.